AAUUUUAUAGUUAAAAAAUAACAUUAAAUUGCAAAUUUAAAAUUAUAUAAAAAUUUAUAUUAAAAUUU
This 68-nucleotide transfer RNA is filed under the name Odontocimbex svenhedini. RNAcentral describes it as "tRNA-Cys". Lineage: Eukaryota; Metazoa; Arthropoda; Insecta; Hymenoptera; Cimbicidae. The record is from RNAcentral.